UCAGGACGAACGCUGGCGGCGUGCCUAAUACAUGCAAGUCGAGCGGAUCUUUGGGAGCUUGCUCCCAAAGGUUAGCGGCGGACGGGUGAGUAACACGUGGGCAACCUGCCUAUGAGACUGGGAUAACUCCGGGAAACCGGGGCUAAUACCGGAUAAUUCUUUUCUACACAUGUAGAAAAGCUGAAAGAUGGUUUCGGCUAUCACUCAUAGAUGGGCCCGCGGCGCAUUAGCUAGUUGGUGAGGUAACGGCUCACCAAGGCGACGAUGCGUAGCCGACCUGAGAGGGUGAUCGGCCACACUGGGACUGAGACACGGCCCAGACUCCUACGGGAGGCAGCAGUAGGGAAUCUUCCGCAAUGGACGAAAGUCUGACGGAGCAACGCCGCGUGAGUGAUGAAGGUUUUCGGAUCGUAAAACUCUGUUGUUAGGGAA
RNAcentral lists this ribosomal RNA (432 nucleotides) under uncultured Bacillus sp. RNAcentral describes it as "bacterial SSU rRNA". It matches the Rfam family "Bacterial small subunit ribosomal RNA", at positions 24 to 446 of the family's 1533-position model. The record is from RNAcentral. Lineage: Bacteria; Bacillati; Bacillota; Bacilli; Caryophanales; Bacillaceae.